Molecule: ribosomal RNA, 467 nt
Filed under: uncultured bacterium
Lineage: Bacteria
Description: partial 16S ribosomal RNA
Rfam family: Bacterial small subunit ribosomal RNA
Source: RNAcentral
GACGAACGCUGGCGGCGUGCUUAACACAUGCAAGUCGAACGGAAAGGCCUCUUUCGGGGGGUACUUGAGUGGCGAACGGGUGAGUAACACGUGAGUAACCUGCCCUUGACUUUGGGAUAACCUUAGGAAACUGGGGCUAAUACCGGAUAGGAGCUCCUGCUGCAUGGUGGGGGUUGGAAAGUUUCGGCGGUUGUGGAUGGACUCGCGGCUUAUCAGCUUGUUGGUGGGGUAGUGGCUUACCAAGGCUUUGACGGGUAGCCGGCCUGAGAGGGUGACCGGCCACAUUGGGACUGAGAUACCGCCCAGACUCCUACGGGGAGCAGCAAGUGGGAAUAUUGCACAAUGGGUGGAAGCCUGAUGCAGCAACGCCGUGUGCGGGAUGACGGCCUUCGGGUUGUAAACCGCUUUCGCUCAGGACGAAGCUUUAUGUGACGGUAGUGGGUAAAGAAGCACCGGCUAACUACGUG